AUGAAUACUAUUUGUUGUUAGCGUCAAAGGCCGCUGCAGCAUACAACGUAUCUAAUAAUAAAAAUAAUAAUGAUAAUAAUGUGAACAACUCAAUUCAUUACUUUCAGGGCAAGAUCCAAUAUGACAGCCUUUCUUGCAAAAUAUUUAAAUUAUAACAGUAUGUUCAUUCAGUAUGACAUCAUUUGGUGCAAAUAUUAUUGAACAACCUGGUUUGAAUCCAACUUUUGAGGUAUUGAUUAUUCUCUAAAUAACAUAUUAAUGUACAAAUCCAUUCAGAUUCAAGAACAAAUUCACCACAGCACAGAAGCAUUUUUGCCAUCGGUUGAUGGUGAAUACACUUUUUUUCAAGUUUAUUUCCCAGGAAACUCUGAAAAUGAAGUGUAUCAACGUUGUGCUUUCAAUCGUACAGUUAGGAGAGAGAUUGUCAUUAGGGUUCAACAACUCUUACAUAUACAUAUGAAUAUAAUUCGUUGAUCCAAUUGUUUAAAACAGCAUUAGAACUGAUGCCGUCGAAUAAUCAUAAAAUAGUAAUAAGAGCAGACAAAAGACCUGUACGAAAACAUGAAAUACGCUUCAAUGCACCAACAUUAAAUGAAGUUACCAUCGUGCUUUUUGGAGAAAAUAUGGAAUUUCGCGAUGUUGUAAUUCAACGACGUGAUGUUGACAACUUUAAGCAAAGGAAGACGGAUAUCAUUUUAUGAUGAAGAAGAUUUAUUCAGUAACGGUAUGUGCGUAAUCUACAUGGAUAUGUCAAGAAAUUAACAAAAAGGUCAGCUCAAUGGAUUUUUAUGCAUACCGUUUCAUAAUACAAGUACGUGUAAACAAGAUAAUCACGUUUGGAAAUAUUUCAGAUUAUCUCAACAGUUUACUGUUGGUAUGCACUUUUGUUAAGAUUGAAGCAAAACAUUUAAAUUAUAUACAUACGUUUCAACCAGAAAAAAAUCAUUACGUUCAGAAAAAUAUAUUCGUUAGCGCGAUGCCAUAAACACAGAUGGAAAAAGAAAUAAUGUGGGCCGACUUACAAUUUUAUCAGCAACGUAUGUGGUAAGCCCGAUACACAUGUAUGAAUAUGCUCAAGAUGUUGUGACCAAAGUGCGCCAAUAGGGUAGACCAGAUUUAUUUAUUACUUACAAAUGCAAUCCAAAGUGGACCGAAAUUACUAAUCUGUUAUUACCUCGUCAAUCAGACAGCGAUCGUUAUGACAUAACGAGUAUUCAAGCAGAAACUCAAAGUGCUAAUGGACUUCAUUUUCAAAUAUAAUGUCUUUGGAAAAGUACGCUGUUGGAUGUAUGCUGUAAAGAGGCACCAGAGAGGACCUCACGCACAAAUUCUUUUGUGGAUGGUUGACAAAAUAAGACCAAAUAAAAUUGACUCAAUAAUUUGCACAGAAAUUCCUGAUCCCUAAAGCAUGGGCCAUGUGGCGAACACAAUAGGGAAUCGCUAUGCAAGUUAACGGCAGCCUCCAAACAGUAGCUUAGAGCUCAUUAUAAACCAAACUGUAUCUUUGCACUUAGCAAUAAUACAGCUUCUUAAUAAGCAUCUUUGCUUGUUUAAGUAAUCAA
Molecule: long non-coding RNA, 1562 nt
Organism: Bactrocera oleae (olive fruit fly)
Lineage: Eukaryota; Metazoa; Arthropoda; Insecta; Diptera; Tephritidae
Source: RefSeq, a predicted model, not a curated record